RNAcentral lists this ribosomal RNA (629 nucleotides) under Plebeia jatiformis. RNAcentral describes it as "SSU rRNA". It matches the Rfam family "Eukaryotic small subunit ribosomal RNA", at positions 24 to 623 of the family's 1831-position model. The record is from RNAcentral. Lineage: Eukaryota; Metazoa; Arthropoda; Insecta; Hymenoptera; Apidae.
UCAUAUGCUUGUCUCAAAGAUUAAGCCAUGCAUGUCUCAGUACAGGCUGAAUUAAAGUGAAACCGCGAAUGGCUCAUUAAAUCAGUUAUGGUUUCUUAGAUCGUCCCACAUUUACUUGGAUAACUGUGGUAAUUCUAGAGCUAAUACAUGCAAACGAAAUUCCUCUCAGAGAUGGGAGGAAUGCUUUUAUUAGAUCAAAACCAAUCGGUGGCGGAUGGUUCGCUGUCCGUCCAUCGUUUGUUUUGGUGACUCUGAAUAACUUUAUGCGGAUCGCAUGGUCAUCUAGCACCGGCGACGCAUCUUUCAAAUGUCUGCCUUAUCAACUGUCGAUGGUAGGUUCUGCGCCUACCAUGGUUGUAACGGGUAACGGGGAAUCAGGGUUCGAUUCCGGAGAGGGAGCCUGAGAAACAGCUACCACAUCCAAGGAAGGCAGCAGGCGCGCAAAUUACCCACUCCCGGCACGGGGAGGUAGUGACGAAAAAUAACGAUACGGGACUCAUCCGAGGCCCCGUAAUCGGAAUGAGUACACUUUAAAUCCUUUAACGAGGACCAAUUGGAGGGCAAGUCUGGUGCCAGCAGCCGCGGUAAUUCCAGCUCCAAUAGCGUAUAUUAAAGUUGUUGCGGUUAAA